GAUAAGAAAUGGUAUAAGCAGUGAUGAUAUGAUGCUAAAGUGAUGACAAAUGGAUGCUCAAAACAUGCAAAAUACACACUUAUCAACUCCCCCAAACUUAGUCUUUGCUUAAGAACAAGCUGGAGGUGAGGUUUGAAAGCGGGGACUCAGAGCCAAAGCAGCAGAUAAACCAGAUGAAAUCAAUGUCCAAGUUGAUAGUUCUAAGUUGCGAUAUGAUCGAAUUCUACUCAAAAACGUUAGCCAUGCCUUUUUAUCAAUCAAUCCGACUCAUAUGCUCGACCUACACGUGUUUUCAAAUCUACCAAUCCCUUUAACAUUCAUUAGCUCUAGAACGUGAAUCAAGCAAUGCAUCAUCAAUGAACUCAUUUGGCUAAGGUAAAAGGUCAAGAGACAAAGAUGGUCCUUUACAGAAUAGGCUUCAGUAACAAGGGAUCUCUCAAAAAAUGAUUAAGCUUUAGUUGAAUGCUAAAGGUAAGUCCCAAGCUAUGCAUACAGAGAUAAGAUCUCAUCUACCCAGAGUAUAUCAAAUGAAGCUCUAAUGGUUAUCCCAUCUCCAAUCCCAAUAUAAGAACUUAACUCUACCCUUUGCAUUCAUGAAUCUUUUAAGCCCUUUUUCUAAUCAUUCUUUUCUUUUCUCUUAACUCUAGGAGAAGCUUUCUCAACACUUUGAUAUAUCUAGCGGAUUUGGAUUUCUUUAACAACUAAGGUUCCUGUUUUUAACAUUUUAAAACCGAGGGCUUUUGCCCAUCUUCAAUAGCUAACAAAA
This 766-nucleotide small RNA is filed under the name Arabidopsis thaliana (thale cress). RNAcentral's name for it is "ATSL201610". The record is from RNAcentral. Lineage: Eukaryota; Viridiplantae; Streptophyta; Magnoliopsida; Brassicales; Brassicaceae.